Peromyscus maniculatus bairdii (prairie deer mouse) is the source of this 2072-nucleotide RNA transcript. It is a transcript of the gene named spermatogenesis associated 18, with no coding region annotated. The record is from RefSeq and is a predicted model, not a curated record. Lineage: Eukaryota; Metazoa; Chordata; Mammalia; Rodentia; Cricetidae.
GCCUGGCUGGCGGGCGGCGGCGGGGGAGCUAGAACAGCGCGCCGGGCAGUGGAUAAGACGUGACGCCUGCGGCUCAGGGCGCCUCCCCCCUCGGCUUCCCGAACCCUGCCAGGUCCGACCCGAGGGGGAGGAUGGAUACUCCAGCUGCGUUCUGAGCCUGAGCAGAAGAUAACACCCCUGCGGCCACAGCACCCCACCGUCCUGCCCAGGCCACCCCCUCGUCCCUUCUACUAACUCGGUCUCCCGGAGUCGGACGCGUGGGAAAGCACGCGAUGGCAGACAACUUGAAGAAGCUGGCCAAAAGCGAAUCUUUUCAGGCCCUCCAGGAUAAAGUCACCUACUGGAUGAAGGACUACGACACCAACACCUGUGAUGAAAAUCUAAAUUGUUGCAUCGGGCUCAUCGAAGAAGUCGCCAAAGUACAAGCACAGCUCUUUGGGAUCCUCACAGUGACAGCCCAAGAAGGAGGACAUAAUGAGGGUGUGGAAACAAUCAAGGGUCGCCUUCUGCCUUUGCUGGAGACUUCUUUCAGUUCUGUAAAUGUGUCGAAACUUACGGAGAACAAGGACCCCUCUCUGCAGGUCACGUAUUUUAGAGAUAGAAACAAAGACCGUAAUGUACGGGAACAGGACCAACAGCCAGUAGAUAGUGACUUCAGCCCAGACCGCCAACAAAACCAGGUUCAAGACGAUCUGGCUGACACUGGAAAGAGUCUUGAUGGAACCAAGAGCAGAUCAACCAUAUCCCUCAUGGCUGCAGAGGAGGAGAUAAAUCAGCUAAAAAAGCAACUUAAAUCUCUUCAAGCCCAGGAAGAAACCCGCCACAGAAACUCAGAGAGCCGGCGCUCUGAGGCUUCCAAAUCUGAGCGCCGAGUUUCAAGCAAACGGACCUCAGAUGCGCGGACCUCAGAGCCACGGAGCCAAGAGGUGAUGUCAGACUAUGGGAAACAACUCCAAACUCUGAAGGAUGAGAUAGCUGUCUUGUCUGCUGAAAAAGCCGGUCUCCAGGGAAGGUCAACCAGGAGCCGGUCUCCUAGCCCUAGCCGCAGCCGGAGCCGCAGCCGCAGCCACAGCAGGUCCAACAGCCCUUGCACCACAGUGGCCAAGAUCAGAAGCCCAUCCCCAAACCGGUCCAAAAUAUCCAGCGUGGCUCGCAAAGCUGCUCUCCUGUCCCGCUUCAGCGACGCCUAUUCCCAGGCCCGCCUGGACGCGCAGUGUUUGCUGCGGCGCUGCCUGGACAGAGCGGAGACGGUGCAGCGGAUCAUUUACAUCGCCACAGUGGAGGCCUUUCACGUAGCUAAAAUGGCGUUCAGGCACUUCAAGAUCCGGGUGAGGAAGAUGCUGACCCCGUCACACGUGGGCUCAAAUGACUUUGAGAGCGCGGUUAUGGACUACAUCAUCUGCCAUCUUGAUCUCUAUGACUCGCAAAGCAGUGUGAAUGAUGUGAUCCGCGCCAUGAACGUCAACCCCAAGAUCUCCUUCCCUCCUGAAGUUGACUUCUGCCUCCUCCACGACUUCAUCCAGGAGAUAUGCUGCAUUGCCUUUGCAAUGCAGUCCUUAGACCCACCACUUGAUAUCGCGUUUGGGGCCGAUGGAGAAGUCUUUAAUGAUUGCAAGUACCGCCGCAGCUAUGACUCGGAUUUCACUGCUCCCUUGGUCUUUUAUCACGUGUGGCCUGCUCUCAUGGAGAAUGACUGUGUCAUUAUGAAGGGGGAAGCCGUCACCAAGAGGGGGGCUUUUGUACGGUGGCCUUGCAUAGUGACAAUUCAUCCCCAGUGUCUGAUUCACAAUGGAGUUCUGUGCGACCUAUAACACGCUGCCGCAGCAGGAGCUUAAGUCCCGUCUGUCCCCGUAACCGCAUUGGAUUAAGCACGAUGUCUCGGAGUCGGAGUCCUUCUCCAAUAAGAUGUACAUUGCCAAGAUACUAAAACCACCAGCCACGUUUGUUUGCCACAGUCCAUUGGAACAGCCAGCUUCUUCAGCGCCUCCGCCCACCUGACUUGUCUGCCUCCGACCUCACUUAACAUGAAAUGAAAAGGCAAUUCUGUGUAUCACUCCGCACAGAGAGUUUAA